RNAcentral lists this unclassified non-coding RNA (225 nucleotides) under Sinoseris muliensis. Its description in RNAcentral is "ITS2". The record is from RNAcentral. Lineage: Eukaryota; Viridiplantae; Streptophyta; Magnoliopsida; Asterales; Asteraceae.
AUCGCGUCGUCCCCUAUCAUGCUUUCUUGAGAGUCAGUCAUGGUGUUUGGGGGCGGAUAUUGGCCUCCCGUGCUUGUGGCGUGGUUGGCCUAAAUAGGAGUUUCCUUCGGUGGAUACACGACUAGUGGUGGUUGUAUAGACCCUCUUCUUGUGUCGUGUGUUGUGAGCUGUUAGGGAAACCUUCAUCAAAGACCCCAAUGUAUCGUCUUGUGACGAUGCUUCGAC